RNAcentral lists this ribosomal RNA (538 nucleotides) under uncultured Acidobacteriota bacterium. RNAcentral describes it as "bacterial SSU rRNA". It matches the Rfam family "Bacterial small subunit ribosomal RNA", at positions 13 to 529 of the family's 1533-position model. Lineage: Bacteria; Pseudomonadati; Acidobacteriota. The record is from RNAcentral.
UUGAUCCUGGCUCAGAAUCAACGCUGGCGGCGUGCCUCAGACAUGCAAGUCGAACGCGAAAGGCCCCUUCGGGGGCCGAGUGGAGUGGCGCACGGGUGAUUAACACGUGGAUAAUUUGCCUUCGGGUGGGGAAUAACAACCGGAAACGGUUGCUAAUACCGCAUAAUGCAGCGGCAUCUAUGAUGACAGUUGUUAAAGCUGGGGAUUCUUCGGAACCUCGCGCCUGAAGAGAAGUCCGCGGCAGAUUAGUUAGUUGGUAGGGUAAUGGCCUACCAAGGCGACGAUCUGUAGCCGGCCUGUGAGGGCGGUCGGCCACACUGACACUGACAUACGGGUCAGACUCCUACGGUAGGCAGCAGUCGGGAAUUUUGGGCAAUGGGCGAAAGCCUGACCCAGCAAUGCCGCGUGAAGGAUGAAGUUUUUCGGAAUGUAAACUUCACAAGAAUGGGUAGAAUAAGAGGGGGUUAAUACCCCUCUCGAUGACGGUACCAUUUGUAAGUUCCGGCUAACUCCGUGCCAGCAGCCGCGGUAAUAAGGU